RNAcentral lists this long non-coding RNA (844 nucleotides) under Mus musculus (house mouse). RNAcentral describes it as "alncRNA-EC56". The record is from RNAcentral. Lineage: Eukaryota; Metazoa; Chordata; Mammalia; Rodentia; Muridae.
GCUCCCUUCUGUAAACAGUCUUUUUCUAAUUCUGUCCACACUUUAUCAGUUCUGAUGUAGAUCAUGAUAUCAUCAGCAUUUGCUAACAAUUAUUUUUCAUCAUUUUCUAACUCCUAGAAAGUACUGUCUUCAACCUUACCAAUGUCAGUGGCGGCGACGGUGGCGUCACCAUCACCAUCAGAGAAAAAGAAAUAUGCCUUUAUGUCAUGGGUUGAUGGCCUAACACUGGCUUAACACUCAUGUCGGCUGCACUAAUUGAAGUCACAUCCAAGUGGGUCAAUGCACUGAACAUAUCUGAUAUAGAAGGUCCCAGAUCCUGAAUUUUUAUCAAUGGUUUGCUGUAUAAGGCUUGCCUCCCAAAUAGCUGAGGACCCUUAUUUGGGAAGAUACGUUCUGAUGGUUAAGCAACAGCACAGAUGUCGAUGGGAAUGAGUGAUGGCCAUCCAGUGACCAGCUGGAUCUGACUGCCUUACAAGACGCAUGUGUAUGAUUAAGAGAGAGACAUUCGUGACUCCCAGAUGUACCUCCUUCCUGUCCCACAGUGUUCCUGAAGGGAGUGAGUUAUGGGGUAACUUAUAACACAGCAGGCUCUUCCUCAAGAUAGCUCUUGUCAAAACAGGAAGACGAAACUCGGGUUUCCAUGAGGAGACCACAGCUUGGGAUCCUGUCUGGAUGUACAAGCAGAAGCAUCUUCAUACUUUUCCAUUUCUAACCAUCAUGCCUCACCCCACCCUCCCAAGGCGACAUCUGCAGAGAGGUGGAACCAUCUAGGGAGGCCUGCCACUGUUUGCUGAGCUCCGGGUGAGGAUGAAGACACUUUGACAUGGCCAGCUUCAGACUCGGG